GCGUAAAGCGUACGUAGGCGGUUAUUCAAGUCAGAGGUGAAAGCCUGGAGCUCAACUCCAGAACUGCCUUUGAAACUAGAUAGCUAGAAUCUGGGAGAGGUGAGUGGAAUUCCGAGUGUAGAGGUGAAAUUCGUAGAUAUUCGGAAGAACACCAGUGGCGAAGGCGGCUCACUGGACCAGUAUUGACGCUGAGGUACGAAAGCGUGGGGAGCAAACAGGAUUAGAUACCCGUGGUAGUCCACGCCGUAAACGAUGAUAACUAGCUGCCAGGGUUCACAGAACUUUGGUGGCGCAGCUAACGCAUUAAGUUAUCCGCCUGGGGAGUACGGUCGCAAGAUUAAAACUCAAAGGAAUUGACGGGGGCCUGCACAAGCGGUGGAGCAUGUGGCUUAAUUCGAAGCAACGCGCAGAACCUUACCAGCGUUUGACAUCCUCAUCGCGAUUUCCAGAGAUGGAUUUCUUCAGUUCGGCUGGAUGAGUGACAGGUGCUGCAUGGCUGUCGUCAGCUCGUGUCGUGAGAUGUUGGGUUAAGUCCCGCAACGAGCGCAACCCUCGUCUUUAGUUGCCAUCAUUUAGUUGGGCACUCUAAAGAAACCGCCGGUGAUAAGCCGGAGGAAGGUGGGGAUGACGUCAAGUCCUCAUGGCCCUUACACGCUGGGCUACACACGUGCUACAAUGGCGGUGACAGUGGGUAAAUCCCCAAAAGCCGUCUCAGUUCGGAUUGUUCUCUGCAACUCGAGAGCAUGAAGGCGGAAUCGCUAGUAAUCGCGGAUCAGCAUGCCGCGGUGA
This 789-nucleotide ribosomal RNA is filed under the name uncultured Sphingomonadales bacterium. RNAcentral describes it as "bacterial SSU rRNA". It matches the Rfam family "Bacterial small subunit ribosomal RNA", at positions 558 to 1365 of the family's 1533-position model. The record is from RNAcentral. Lineage: Bacteria; Pseudomonadati; Pseudomonadota; Alphaproteobacteria; Sphingomonadales.